CGUCGAUGGUCUUACAGCUUUCAGACCUGAAAACACGCUCAAGAACAUGAGAGACUUUGGACUGAGAAGCAAUGAGCAGAAAACGAACACGUGAAGUCACUCGACUCGAGCAGCGGGAGCGAGCAACAGCACAACGUUGACCUCCUCAUCAAACCUAGAGUGUGUUAAGAAGGUAGCCGUUCCCAGCUGUGCACCCUCCCUUUGUGCAGACCAUGCACGAUACGAGGGCACUGGGUGAGGAACACCAAAGGAGUUAUAUUGAGAUGUGGCCGCCCUGGAAGCCUUCAAGAAUGGGAAGUCCAUGAAAGCGGCAUUUGAUGCUGUUGGGGUGGAUCGCAACACAGUGGCUGUUGUGGCUGUGCAUUAACAUUUCAUGCCUCACAUAAUUAAUAACUUGUCUACAGCACGUUUGUUGUUU
Molecule: long non-coding RNA, 418 nt
Organism: Clupea harengus (Atlantic herring)
Lineage: Eukaryota; Metazoa; Chordata; Actinopteri; Clupeiformes; Clupeidae
Exons: 4
Source: RefSeq, a predicted model, not a curated record